Molecule: long non-coding RNA, 431 nt
Organism: Limulus polyphemus (Atlantic horseshoe crab)
Lineage: Eukaryota; Metazoa; Arthropoda; Merostomata; Xiphosura; Limulidae
Exons: 3
Source: RefSeq, a predicted model, not a curated record
GUAAUAUACAUUAGGCUAAAGUGUUUGGCGCUUUUAUGGAUGUUAUAGAAAAGGUGUUAAAUUAAACGUCGUUAUUUUGUGGAUUGUUUUGUUAGUAUUUUAAUACAUUCUCAAAUAAUAGAGCACAAGAUCAUCACCCAUAAUUCUAAGUCAGCUGUAGUUGUGUAAGAAGAUAUCUAAUGGCAACAGAAGAUCCACCAAAACCAUCUCAAGAAAGUGAUAAUUCAAAAAACACAUCCCAGUCGCAAUCCAGUGCCCAGUCAUCUUGCCCAGUGACAUCUGGUGGUGGGAUAGUUUCCAAGUCUACAGAUUCAUCUAACACCUCUAAACCUAAACCAAACUAUACCUUGAAGUUUACACUAGCUGGACAUACAAAAGCUGUGUCAUCAGUGAAGUUCAGUCCUAGUGGAGAAUGGUUAGCCAGUUCAUGU